CCCUCAGCUGCUCCUUGUAGAUCUUGAUCUCUCAUUACACCAGUGAAAAUAAAUUUGGACUGAGAAAGAAUGGUCAGUUGACGAAUAUUUUGUUAGAGUAGAGAAUAUGACAAAAGAGAGUAAAGUUCUAUACUGACACAUGCCAUGAAGGACUCAUAAGAUUGUUCAAAAAUGCUAGAAUUUUCAACAGAAGCAGCAUGCCAUUUGGAAAAAUCUACAAGAAUGUUCACUUCAUCAGAAGAAAGGUAAGGGCUAGAAAUUGCCCAUACAGCAGUAGCUCUAGGAACUCCAACUGUUUCGACAAGAGCCACAGAAUUGAGGACUCCUUACCAAGAUCUAAGCAGUAUGCUAAGACCUUGGUUUUCAGCUGUUGUAUUUCAGUGGGAAGCACAGGACACAGGACAAGGAUCUUAAGAUUCAGUCUGCAGAACUGAAAUAUAGCCUAUCAGUGCUUGGAGAUAAUCAGAUAAAGAAAAAAUGGGUUAUGCUUCAGUGCUCAAACUAUGUGGAUUAAAAAGAAAUUCUGACAUAGAGGAAAGCAUGCAAGUGAAGGCUACCCCGAGGCAGCCUUAAUGUAAAAGCUGACAAGCCAGUGCAUACUUUCUCGCUUACUAAUUUACUUUUUUUUCAACAAAACGGUGAACCGAUCAUGGCAACUCCCUCAUCACAGAGCAUGCAUGAAUAAUCCUGUGAAUAAAAUAAAAUGUGCCUUGCCCUCUGCACUUCUUCUCAACUUUGGUUCAUGAAAAAUUAAGUAAUGAAGUAUCUAAUAGCAGUGCAUAUCUCAUCAUCGUCAAUUAAUGGCACUAAAAUGAAAUCUAGUUUAGCAAUAUUGAAGAGGUCAUGCAAAUAUCCUGUAGUAAGGUGCGUUUUAUGUAAGAACAUACUAUACUGAAGAUGUAAUAGUGGCAUACGUAGAAGGCACUCUAUGAUUAACUGCAAAAAGAUAUAUGCAUAUACAACUCUUUUUUUUUUUUUUUUUUUUUUUCCAUCUGAGUUUGUUUACUUUCCUCUCUGCAAACUCUGUCCUUGCCAUUCUUUUCUGACUAGUACAAUUACAGCAUUUGCUAUCUAUUUCAUGCCAGCCCUGAUAGGAUUAAGAGCUGGUGAAAGAACAGUGGGGUUUUAUGUGCACUGGUAGCCAUUCAUUCUUCCUUUUAAUUAUGUGAAUAGUAUUGCUCUGAUCAUUUUGAAAGCUAAAGAGAAAGUUAAUGUCUGAAAUAAUAAAAAUGUAAUAAAAGUAGAUUGUUUGCAGAAACAAACAAACAAACAAACUGCAUUUUACCUUUUAUGUUAUUGAAUUUGGAACAUAGUACUACAUAAUUCAGAUGAAUUGGAACUGUAUCUUGUUUUUGCUGUGCGUCUUUGACUAUAAUUAUAAUGCUAGCAUAUCACUUGGUGUCUUAUCUGUCUACUAAAGAACGAGCAAGCUACUAUGAGCCUGUUCUGGGCAUUUUUUGCAGAGAAGGAGCCUGCUAGCAUCAGAUACAGAGCAUCACACUACAAGGAGGCAUUUAACUGCCUCAGAAGACUAAUUCAUUUCUUAAUUCUCACAAAGUAUUUUGCAGUCUGGGAACCCAACCUCUGAACACAUAAACCGUGGUGGGUUUUUUUUGUUGUUGUUUCUUUUUGUUGUUGUUGUUGUUGUUAUUUUUGUUUGUUCAUUUGUUUGUUUGUUUGUUUGUUUUUCCUGAGGUAUCGAUAUAGUAUGGUACAGUUCUUUUUAAGUAUUGGGCAGGUGAAAACUGACUGACAAAAUCAUUGAACAGCAUUUUCAUGCAUAGUAACCCCCAGAAUAUUGGCUGCAAAAAGGUUUCAUCACAUUUCUGAAGCCUGUUGUCCAUGAUGCUGGGAUACAGAGAACUUCAAAUAUUCAACAGCUGAAAACAAGGGAAAUCAAAUAAACAGAGAGCGGCUGAUUACAGUUUCUUGUCUCUCCUUUACAGCUCUCGUUGUAAAACGUUGUAUGUGGAUUAAUUGGUUGUUCACAGCUGAGACUGAAGUGAUAAAAUCGGAAAGCGUCGGAAAGCUGGUAACUGAAACUGCUGCUGGGACUUCAGUGCCGUUGCUUGCAGAUGACAGCAGAGCUUCCCGUAGUAACAGCAGAUCCGCACAGAAAACAAAGCACGAAUUUUGUUUAAAAAACCUCCUCGAGAGGCCACAAAGCACCGACGAGCCAGCAGUUUCUGCCGCCGGCACCUCACGGCUCCUUCUCCGCGGCGGCCUCCCCGUGAGCAGCCCCCGGCCCGCCGCAGGACGCGGCCCCUCAGCGCCCCCUCAGCCGCCGCCCGCCUCCAGCCCGCGGCCGGCCCGGCCCGGCCCGGCCCGGCGCUGCGAGCCGCCCCGCACCGCCACCUGGCGGGGCACCGCAGGCCGGGCCCCUCGGUACUUGCCGCCCAAGGGUCUGCUCGCUGCCUUGGGAGGCUCCCCCACCGCCCCCCCGUGCCCUGGGGCCGUGGCAGGGGUGGGUGUGAGGGGAGCCAGCUCCCCGCGCCUGCACUAUGUGACCCGCUCGGCUGCAGCGGUGGAGGGCGAGGUGUAAUGGAUGCCGGCUUUGGGCGUUGGAUUGAUGGCCUUCCAAAUAAAAGAUUAUCAAGACCUGGAUGAUAACGCUUGGCCAAAGUUCUUUCAGAUGGCUCCCGAUUUAGGCAGUAUUAGCGCCGACUGAACGAUCCUUAGAAAGGGAACAGCGAUAGCCCCUGUUUUUGGCAGAUAUUUGUGGGACCAUGGACCAAAUCCUGCUGCCUACCUCUGAUAGAAGUGCAAAACACCCACACCAACCCCAGAGAAAUUCCCCUGUAUUUAUGUUGGUAUUGCCAUGAACUGUCUGUUUAAUUUCAACCAUACCUGCUUUGUACCCAAAUUUUCAUAUCCUCCAGUAAGUGAAGUUAAAUCAACAGCAGUCGUAGGCAUGCUCUGAGGGGGUGGCAUUCAUCAGGGAUCAGGCAAGUGCAAUACUGCCUGCCAAUUACGUGGGAAUCUGGAAAGAUUUUUUUUUUCAAACCUCUCCAGCAUUCCCUUCAAUACAGGUCAGUAAUGAAAUCCUUCAGUCAUUUAUAAAGUCAUUAUACCAAAUUAUUUCCCACAAAACUGUAUUUAGUCUAAUGGGUAUAUGUAACUAUUGCAUACAUAUACGUGGGAAAGAAAAAGCCACUGAAUUGCAAAUUUUCUUAAGCUCAGUAAAAAUCAUUCCUACAGUGGUUGUUCAAAAUAUUUCCAAAGCAGGCUUGUUUAGAAAAUCAGCUUUGCACAAUUAUCUUUCUACUGUUCCCAAGCUGUUCUAAAGUAACUGAGCAAAUGCUUCAGUGUUUGUUGUCUUGUACUGAAAUAAGUGUUGAAAUCCUCUUUGUCUCACAUCAUGUCUUUCUGUCAAUAUAUUGCAUGCAUCACACCUUGUCAGCUGGUUCUUGAGAAAGAAACACUAACUCUGUUCCUCUCAAUACUGUUUUCUGUCUCCAGAAGGAUUUUGCUGUAGAUUAUUGAUGUGAGACAAAAAUGGGAGGAAAUGCAGCCUAACCAGUGUAAACUAGCAAAUUGUAUAGCUGCACGUUUUAGUGAUUCCUGAUAGCACAAUGUGUGUAUAUAGAAGAAUCUCAUGGAAGAUCAUCAUAAAACUUAAAAAAAAAAAAAAAAAAAAAAAAAAAAAACAAGUUUAAAUGUAGUAAUAACAUUGAUGGCAGAGACAAAUAUAAAAUAUAAAGAGAGGCAAAUACAAAUUUAGUUUUCAGUUAUGUUAUUCAACGCUAAUUUUUGGUGGCCUUUUGAUCUUAUAUUAAGUUUUAUUUCAUCAAGAAGCAGGAGAGAAUCAAGGGGAAAAAUACAUACAAAAUGAGAUUUAAAGCAUUUAUUAAUAAAGUUUAUAUGUCCAUAAAGAAUAACAUACUGGAAGUGAAAAUACAAAAGCUGGUUCAAAGAGAAACCAUUAGAAACCACAAAAAUACUUUAUUGACAUUAUACAAUACUCUAUAAUCUGAUGCUUAGCUGUAGUUCAGCAUCUAUUUUGCACUAGCUGGGGAUUUUCCUUUCUGGUUAACUAAAGAAAACCUUUAUAAUGAAUACACUGCAGCUUUUGUGUUGACAGCAUGUGUAAAUAUUGAUUGAGCAUUUAGGGACUAAUAGAAGAAAAAUAGAACAGUUGGAGUAAUGGAGAGAGGUUGUCGUUAAUAGAUUAAUAGAAUUAGUUUAAUAGAAUAGUAAUAGAUUCUCUAACUUCUGUAUGUUAAGUAUGUUUCAAGUAUAGGUAUUAUACCGAAGCUGCUGAAUUGCUGUUGCUGAGGGUCUAGUUUUAAAUUUUUAUUUUCAUAAAUGUUAUAAAGAAUUAGGAUAUUGUUCUGCUUAGAUUUGGGCUGUGAGUUAUCAGAAAAAGCAGAAAUCUGAGCAUUAAGGGCUGGAGCUAGGUUUUGGAAAUAUAAGAGCUUUGUUUUCCAAGCUUCAAGAGCUUGGAAAUAUAAAAGCAUAUAAGAUGCUUUGGAAAGCAUCUGUCAUGUAAAAUGCUUUAAAAUAAAUUCUGCAACUUCCUUGUAUAUUUGAACCAGAUUUUUUUUAAAAAAGCCUCAGUGUAAUUCCAGUGAAAGUAAUACUUUAUAGUAGUAGUACAUAGUGAAAUUUGUACUUAAAAGCAAAUCAGUUGGUAGAUGAGUUCUGAUUUCUUGUAAGUAUAAUUAAUUGCUUAACUUAUCAAUCAUGCAAACCAGAGCAUCACAGCCGCGUCAUUUAAAUGUAUAUACAUUACGUAUUUCUCUGUGUUGUGCUCAUGAAGUAACGUGAAUAUGUGUGUUAACAUUGGCUUGUAAUAACAGUUGGCAUAGUUCAAAUAGAUGAUGAAGUAGAUCUGUUUGCACAACAGGAUGUAAACUGGGCUAAUCUUGUUUAAGGUUUGUAAUGUUUUGUUACUUUUGUCUUGGUCUCUGUCGGCACUGCUCACGUAAGUGGAGAUUGUGGCUCUUGCAGAACAACCUUGAUGGUGCUCUACACCUGCUUGCACUUAGGAAAAGAAACAUUUGUUACUCUUAUUUAUGUAAUUGCUUAAAUUGCAUUUUAAUUUUAACAGCUUAAGUAUGUUGGUGGAGAAAAAUGUUUUCUGAAUGAAAGUUUGAUCAAAUGCCCAGGGAGCCAGAGAAAGUCUUUCCAUUGACUCAAGAGAUUUUGUUUCAGGCAUUUUAUUUAAACAAUAUUCUUCUCAACCAUAACUGAGCAAAGUUACGUGCUUUUCAUGAAAGAAGAAGAAAAAAAAACAACAACAACAAAAAAAAAAAAACUCGGAACAAAAAUAUUUCAAACAUCCAUAUUUAAUUUAAUCUUUUAAGGAAAGGAAAAAAAAAAAAAAAAAGAAAAUUAAAUCUUUCCAUUUUAUAUUUUUCUUUAAAUUUAAAUUAUACAGAAAGCUGCAUUUAUAUUUUAAAAACGAUGUAUCUGUUUGAGUAUUACAAAACUUUAUUUCUUCUUGCUAAAAUGGAAAUUGGAUAGGAUUCUGUUGGAGUAAACUCAACAAUUGCUUAA
Molecule: non-coding RNA, 5499 nt
Organism: Anas platyrhynchos (mallard)
Lineage: Eukaryota; Metazoa; Chordata; Aves; Anseriformes; Anatidae
Source: RefSeq, a predicted model, not a curated record